Molecule: long non-coding RNA, 2854 nt
Organism: Piliocolobus tephrosceles (Ugandan red Colobus)
Lineage: Eukaryota; Metazoa; Chordata; Mammalia; Primates; Cercopithecidae
Exons: 2
Source: RefSeq, a predicted model, not a curated record
CCAAGCACCUCUACCUGGAUACCUACAGGGCCCCCCCUCUGUUCUCCCUUCUCCCAGGGCCCACCUUUCCUGUACGCGCAAAGGCCUCAGCCACUUUCCGGUUCCGCCCUCCAUAGCAGGUAGUGAUCAGGUCAGCAACACCACAGCUCUCCAAGAAGGUGGCAGAGGACACAGGGCCACUGCAGAAGAGCUUGGCAAAGGCUAUCAUCUCCAUGAGUCCCAGCCGGAUCACUGCCGCCUUGGUGUUGUCGCCAAAGCCCAGGCCAUCACAGAAGCCAGCACCCACGGCCACUACAUUCUUGAAGGAGUGGAGGUCAUAGGUCCUGCCCCAUUCCCAGCUCAAGUUUGCUGUGAGGAGGCCAGACCAGCACGUGACGAACUGUCCUGCCACAUACCCUCAACCAGUCUCUCUCUCCAAGGCAACAGGUCCCCUCCACAUCCUUAGGCAACUUCGCCUGACUGCCCUAACAAACUGCCAUUCAGUGACCAGUCACUGCUCCAAACCAGCUACUCUUCACACUUCUCAAACCAGCCUGCUUCUCAUAUUCCCCAGGCAUUCCUUUACACCUCCCAAACUCCCUGAGAGAAAGGCCCUCCAAACCGAUCUCUUGUCUCCUCCCUUCAGCCUUCCUUCCAGUGACCCCCAGCGCCUCACUGCUUUCCUAAGCCUCUCCAGAGUCAACUUCCUCUCUUUUCUCCGGCAAACUCUUGACCUCCGUCUGCCAUUUCUGUUCUUGCUUCACCCACCCUGAACCCCACAACAGUGAGCCGCACCCUCCCCCAUCCACAUGAAGGUGUCCCUGGCACCUUAAUAAGAGAUAUGCCAAUGGCAUUUGCCUUCAGGUGGCCCUUGAGCUGGUCACAGAUCUUGCGGAUGAACUGAUGGGGCACCACAAAGAUCAGGAUGUCAGCAUCCACUGCAGCCUGGACCACAUCCGGGACAGCCACCUGUGGGGGUGACCAAGUGCUCGCAGGCCUGGCAGACCUCCCCUAGCCACUGUGGAACCCCAUUCAGGAGAUCUGGGAGCCAAAGAGUGAGGCUGGUAGGGGGGCAGGAAGGCUUGUUUGAGACUGAAUCUAGAAGGACUGAACUUGGAGAAAUGAUACUCUACUCCCUCCCCACAGCCACCACACUCUCUCCCUCCAGCUGUCCUGGGCUCUUGAGGACUCCUGGAAACCUCAUCCCAGCGCUCCUAUCCCUUGGCUGUGGGACAGUGCGGGAGGCCAAGAGCAACCUGGGCUUGGCAAAAGAAAGAGCUCAAAUAAGAUUUCAUCAUCCAGCUCCUCAGGGACCCCAGCUGGGAAAGGGGAGCCUCAGCUUUUCUGCUCUCUUCCCUGCUUCCCCUUUCCAGGUGAGGAGAACCACGUGGGUUUGACCAAAGGCCAUAGGUCCAAGGAGCAGCCUCCAAGUCGGCUAAUCACUCAGUGAAUGAGUAACAGGAUUAGUGCCUGAGGCAGGCACUACCGGACCCCUAGUCUGGGAGCCCAGUCUUUGGCUGCCAUGGAGACCAACUUGUUCUCCCAUCCCUUCCCCACCCACCCGCCUGGGAGCCUGUGAGGGGAAAGCACAAGUUCUCCCCAGUCCUCAGGAAAGGGCCCAGAGCAGCCCUCCUGAGACUUUCCCAAGUCCUGCCGCACCUGAAGUGGCCCCCUCAGCAGGAGACACCUGUUGAGUAAGGUCGGCUCCGACUCCUGGCCCUCCCUUCCUCUCCCCAUUCCUUGCAGGGUGUUGGGGCUCACCACAUUUGGGGGCAGCUUGUGCCCUGGCAGGUAUUUGACAUUCUCAUGCUGCGUGUUGAUGAUGUCAGUCAGCUUUUUGCCUCCAAUGUCUUCCUCAAACACCCACAUGGUCACCCGUGGGUCAAACUGUGCCAGCUGGGCUGCAUUGCCACCCACGAUCUUGGCGAUGGCUGAGCCCCUGGCAGGAGGGGGAGCCCAGGAAAGUACAGGAGGAGGGAACAGUGGCAAGAGUUGGGGCAGCGCCCCACCUCAGGAUCUCACAGCAGCCCCCCAGGCUGUUCACUCCUACCUCCCUAUCACCUCCACUCCAUGUCAAACAUGUCCCCAGUGACCUGGCAGUAGAAAGGAGACUCAGUCUCCUCACCCUUUGCUACUAGAGAAGGGAGCCCCUCUUCCCAUCUUCCCACCCCCAAACUCAAGCAGCUCUUCACACGGAGCGCUCUGGAGACGCCUUCCCAUGGUGAACAGGUGCAGCUGCCCAGGCGGGCGGGGGCCAGGGAAGGGCCGGGCACCCUCUGUCCUGUGCUGCUAUGAUAGAAGAUAGCAGCGGGGGCUGAACAGGAACCUGAGGGCCUUUCCCACCUAUUCUGCCUCCUACCCACCUCUGUCCUGGGGGCCUACCCUUCCCCCAUAUUGCUCGACAGAGCCGCUUACCAGUUCCCGGAGCCUACAAUGCAGACUUUCUUGCUAGCCAUGGUGCCGCGUCUCUGCCUGAGCCGGCUCAGUGCCACACUCCCUAGCUCCUCUGCCGGCUCGGGAGCAUUUAACUCCACCACACGUGGAUGCAGCCAAGCCCCACCCUCCAGGGGUGGGUGGGGAGGCUGGCGCCCAGGGAGAUAGAGUCUGGCAGAGCCAGGGAAAGGAGAGACAGGGUACAGACAGGAAGGGGAACAGGAAUGGGGCAGAGACUAGGCCCUGCUUCUCCUCCUGGGCUCAUCGGCUGACAGUGCUGGCAAGCUUCUUCCCUUGGUCCCAGCCCAGCUUCCCACCCCCUCCCCACCAUGGUCUCAUUUUCAGGUCUGCCAAGAAAAUAGCCCAGAUAAGGAGCAGGUGACUGGUCUCCCUCACUCCCUUCUGUCUCCCAGCAUAAAAUAAAAUGUAUUUAGCUUCAGUA